UACGUAGGGCGCAAGCGUUGUCCGGAAUUAUUGGGCGUAAAGGGCGCGUAGGCGGUGCGGUAAGUCACCUGUGAAACCUCUAGGCUCAACCUAGAGCCUGCAGGCGAAACUGCCGUGCUUGAGGGUGGGAGAGGUGCGUGGAAUUCCCGGUGUAGCGGUGAAAUGCGCAGAUAUCGGGAGGAACACCGAUUGCGAAGGCAGCUCACAAAACUGUCACUGACGCUGAGGCACGAAAGCGUGGGGAUCAAACAGG
This 253-nucleotide ribosomal RNA is filed under the name uncultured bacterium. RNAcentral describes it as "partial 16S ribosomal RNA". It matches the Rfam family "Bacterial small subunit ribosomal RNA", at positions 524 to 776 of the family's 1533-position model. The record is from RNAcentral.